AGGGGAAAAUGCGGUCUCCCCUUGAGACCUCGGUUGAAGCACUGC
This 45-nucleotide non-coding RNA is filed under the name unclassified sequences. The record is from RNAcentral.